Molecule: unclassified non-coding RNA, 336 nt
Filed under: soil metagenome
Description: partial contains 5.8S ribosomal RNA, internal transcribed spacer 2, and large subunit ribosomal RNA
Rfam family: 5.8S ribosomal RNA (bases 1-120)
Source: RNAcentral
GAUGAAGAACGUAGCGAAAUGUGAUAAGUAAUGUGAAUUGCAGAAUUCAGUGAAUCAUCGAAUCUUUGAACGCACAUUGCGCCCGCCAGUAUUCUGGCGGGCAUGCCUGUUCGAGCGUCAUUUCAACCAUCAAGCCCCCGGCUUGUGUUGGGGACCUGCGGCUGCCGCAGGCCCUGAAAAGCAGUGGCGGGCUCGCUGUCACACCGAGCGUAGUAGCAUACAUCUCGCUCUGGGCGUGCUGCGGGUUCCGGCCGUUAAACCACCUUCAUAACCCAAGGUUGACCUCGGAUCAGGUAGGAAGACCCGCUGAACUUAAGCAUAUCAAUAAGCGGAGGA